GAAGAAAGAAAGCGGUUGGUCCUGAGGAGAGAGGAGCCUUCCAGAAGUAUCCAUGCCUUCCUGGAAGACUCAGCGGAGAACCAGGCUAAUCUCGGGGAUAAAAGGAUUAAAGGCACGGCUCAGCCUUCCAAGGGCAAGGGUUGGAAUGGCUGCCCUGAUCUGGGACAUGGAGUUGUCUCUCUUGGGAGAGUAAAGACGGAGGCUUUUUGGGGACAGGAUGCGGGGGGGCAGAUCUUUCUCCCAGGCCUCCCUGGAAUUUCCCUUAGCUUGAGGAUUGCAGUUUUCACUCAGCAGACAAAACCAGAGCAGAGCUCAGCAAACAGCUGCACUGUGAUGGCCUGCAGGUUCCUACACCUGCCUGGGGAAUCCCCCUCGCUUCAUCCCACCACACCUAAAGAAAAGGAGAGCCGCAGGAGGUCUGACGGUGGGUGCACGGGGCCCAGCUGGGAGGCCUGCCCAAGCUCCUGCCUAUGCUGGCCUUUGUUCCUGGGGCAUUUCCAAAGCUCAGGGCUUGGGCUUUGUCCAUUCUCAGGAACCGGGAAAUGAUGCCUGACCACCCCAAACCCAGCAAUCUUUCCUGCUUCCAAACAAAGAGGCCUUUUGAUUUUACAUACUCUCUUGGCCCUUACAUGCCAAAAGGUCUUGGGUAAUAAAAAGAAGAUUAUCAGCAAACACUCACAGAGCACUUACUAUGUUCCAGGUGCUAUUUUAAAUGUUAUAGUUAUUAACUCAUUUAAUCCCAGGAGUUGAGACGGGCUGUCUGGUUUCCUUCGCUAUAUAGUGAAAGGCUCAGGGGCAGGGAGAGGGUGGCACAUUUUUGUAUUCUCUCCAUUCCUUACACUCCAGGAAUGUUUGCAGACUGACUCAGCCUGCUCUGGGGAGGUCGUAGUGGAUCCUGGUUACUCACUUUCCCUUUCUUUUCCAACAGGGCUGUGUUCCACCCCUUUCCUGUUCUCUCAGGGAGAAAGAGUGGAAUGGUAGGACACGGUGUGAAGGGGUUUCCAGAUCCCCAGAUGGCAGGUGGGACAGCUUGCCUGCCCAUCAAAGAAGUUGCCUCCUGGAGACACAUCUGGGCAUUCUGGCAGGAGGAGCAAGAGAGGCACUGUGUGUGUGUGUGUGUGAUUGUGUGCAUGAGUGUGCAAGUGUGUAUGUGUGUAUGUAUAAGAGUGUGUGUGUGAGAGAGAGUGUGGGUGGGUGAGUGUGUGUGUGUGAUAGUGUGAGUGUGUGUGAGUGUAUUUGUGUGUAUGUAUGUGAGUGUGGGUGACUGAAAGUGUGUAAUGAGUUGGGUUUCCUUUUCACGCUUUCCUGGAUUUGCUACCAUGAUCAACUAUGACUUUUACACUCUCAAUAGGGAAAUUAACUGCUAAGGAGGCUGAGACUGGAGGACCACUUGAACCCAGAAGGUUGAGGCUGUAGUGAGCCACUGCCCUCCAGCCUGGACAACAGAGCAAGACCAUGUCUCAAAAAAAAUAAAUAAAUAAAAGAGAGUGAGAAAGAGAUGCAGAGUUAGAAAUUGCAGCGGAUGUUGACUGAGCAUUUGUUGAGUAGUGCCUGCCGUGGUGAGAGCACACCUUUAAGGGAGAGCACAGAAGCACGGAGCUGGGCUGGCAUCCAGCGGGUGUGUAGCAGUAGGUCUGGCAUCGGUCCUGACGAUCAGGAACCUAUUCUGACCGAUCAUGCCCAUUGAUAAGCAUUUUGAAAUCUUUCCUGGCUGGAAGCCAUGGUCUCUGCUUCGGAAGGAAGAUUCGAUCCUGUGGCCAAUUCCCUUCCCCCAGCCAGCAGCCCCAGUCCAAUGAGGGACUCACUAUGUUGACCUCUGUGCUCUUUAAAGACACCUGUGUCGGAGGAUUCUACCAGCUCCCUCCUGGGCUCCUCAUUUAAAAACUCCCAGGCUUUAGAGUUGGGAAUUGCACCUCAAGGUUGGUGUCCACACUCCAGAGCUGAAGACCUCAGCCCUGGCUGCCUGUUUAAGAAAAUACCAAGGGCUGCAUGCAGUGGUUCAUGCCUGUAAUCCCAGCACUUUUGGAGGCUGAAGUGGGAGGAUGGGUUGAGGCCAGGAAUUUGAGACCAGCCCAGGCAACACAGCAAGAUUCUGUCUUUACAAAGAACAUGAAAAAAAAAAAAAAAAAAAGAUUAGCUGGGUGUGGUGGUGUGCACCUGUGGUCCUAGCUACUCAGGAGACUGAGGCAGGAGAAUUGCUUGAGCCUGGGAGGUUGAGGCUGCAGUGAGGUGUGAUUGCACCACUGCACUCCAGCCUGACCACAGAGCAAGAUGUUGUCUCCAAUCAAUGAAUACCAACGCCGGAGCUGCACCCCACACCUGUUAAGCUGGAGAGUCUGGGGUAAGCCCAGAGCAGGGGUAUUUUGGAACUUUCUUGAGAUGGCUCUGCUGCGCAGCCACAGUUGAGAACCACUGAGGCAUCCCGGCAGAUGGAAAAAGCCCC
RNAcentral lists this long non-coding RNA (2443 nucleotides) under Callithrix jacchus (white-tufted-ear marmoset). RNAcentral's name for it is "lncRNA (ENSCJAG00000079151.1)". Lineage: Eukaryota; Metazoa; Chordata; Mammalia; Primates; Cebidae. The record is from RNAcentral.